This 432-nucleotide ribosomal RNA is filed under the name uncultured bacterium. RNAcentral describes it as "partial 16S ribosomal RNA". It matches the Rfam family "Bacterial small subunit ribosomal RNA", at positions 29 to 507 of the family's 1533-position model. The record is from RNAcentral.
ACGAACGCUGGCGGCAUGCCUAACACAUGCAAGUCGAACGAGACCUUCGGGUCUAGUGGCGCACGGGUGCGUAACGCGUGGGAACCUGCCCUUAGGUUCGGAAUAACUCCCCGAAAGGGGUGCUAAUACCGGAUAAUGUCUUCGGACCAAAGAUUUAUCGCCUUUGGAUGGGCCCGCGUUGGAUUAGCUAGUUGGUAGGGUAAAAGCCUACCAAGGCGACGAUCCAUAGCUGGUCUGAGAGGAUGAUCAGCCACACUGGGACUGAGACACGGCCCAGACUCCUACGGGAGGCAGCAGUGGGGAAUAUUGGACAAUGGGCGAAAGCCUGAUCCAGCAAUGCCGCGUGAGUGAUGAAGGCCUUAGGGUUGUAAAGCUCUUUUACCCGGGGUGAUAAUGACAGUACCGGGAGAAUAAGCUCCGGCUAACUCCGUG